Molecule: long non-coding RNA, 476 nt
Filed under: Hordeum vulgare
Lineage: Eukaryota; Viridiplantae; Streptophyta; Magnoliopsida; Poales; Poaceae
Description: long non-coding RNA (HVUL_LNC010703)
Source: RNAcentral
AACUAUAUAUAGCAGCAAAUAAAAAAAGGAACAAGUGAAUGAAAAUUUGUAUGGAGUUACUUUAUAGACUGACAUGUAUACCAAUCAUUGGCAUGACCGCCUACCUUUUCUAGAUUAAAACUGCCGAUCAUAAUCGGACGCAGACGAGAAAUGAAUCGGCCAAUUGGAUGCACCGGACAAGCGGAGUAGACGGCGAGCCAAUAGACGAGCCAAUAGCCGAUCCAAACGGAUAAAACUCGUCUCUUUACGUGGGCGCGUUAGAGCAUCUCCAGCCGUUUGGGCCCAGCGCAAGCGGCGAAUGCCUUUUUGGUGUUGUGCCAACGCUUUUUCGCCCUAGGGGCGAGCGAGUUUCCAGCCGCGCCCCCAGGUUUCGGUCCCCAGACGCUAACAUUUUCAAAAUCGUCUUUCCCGCUGCCAAAAAUACGCCAUGAGUUCGGCGAUCAUGCCACAAGUCGACGAUCAGCAUUGCCAUAAUU